UAUUAUUUUGACCAAAGGUCAUACAUAGACAUUCUAUAACAACUGAGUUUAUAAAACAUAGGCGAACGGAAAUUAAUCCAUCGCCUACAAUAAGUGCACAGGGGUUUUGAAUAGUCGGAGUGCACGGCGACGCCAGCAACAUCCUUUGGAAUUCAAUAAUGAUCCUUCCGCAGGUUCACCUACGGAAA
RNAcentral lists this unclassified non-coding RNA (188 nucleotides) under uncultured fungus. RNAcentral's name for it is "sequence contains ITS1". Lineage: Eukaryota; Fungi. The record is from RNAcentral.